GUGGGGAAUAUUGGACAAUGGGCGCAAGCCUGAUCCAGCCAUGCCGCGUGUGUGAAGAAGGCCUUCGGGUUGUAAAGCACUUUUGUCCGGAAAGAAAAGCACUGGAUUAAUACCCUGGUGUUAUGACGGUACCGGAAGAAUAAGCACCGGCUAACUUCGUGCCAGCAGCCGCGGUAAUACGAAGGGUGCAAGCGUUACUCGGAAUUACUGGGCGUAAAGCGUGCGUAGGUGGUUUGUUAAGUCUGAUGUGAAAGCCCUGGGCUCAACCUGGGAAUUGCAUUGGAUACUGGCAGGCUAGAGUGCGGUAGAGGAUGGCGGAAUUCCCGGUGUAGCAGUGAAAUGCGUAGAGAUCGGGAGGAACAUCUGUGGCGAAGGCGGCCAUCUGGACCAGCACUGACACUGAGGCACGAAAGCGUGGGGAGCAAACAGGAUUAGAAACCCUAGUAGUCC
This 450-nucleotide ribosomal RNA is filed under the name uncultured bacterium. RNAcentral describes it as "bacterial SSU rRNA". It matches the Rfam family "Bacterial small subunit ribosomal RNA", at positions 354 to 796 of the family's 1533-position model. The record is from RNAcentral.